GAAAUGCGAUACUUGGUGUGAAUUGCAGAAUCCCGUGAACCAUCGAGUCUUUGAACGCAAGUUGCGCCCGAAGCCAUUAGGCCGAGGGCACGCCUGCCUGGGCGUCACACGUCGUUGCCCCCCCAACCCCUUCGGUGGCUUGGACGGGACGGAUGAUGGCCUUCCCGCGUGCGCUGUCACGCGGUUGGCUCAAAUGCCGAGUCCUCGGCGACAAUCGGUGGUUGUCAAUACCUCUGUGUCAUGUCGCGCGCGCGAGUCGUUUGUUGGAUCUCCUGACCCAUGCGUGUCGGUCUGCCGACGCUUUGCGACCCCAGGUCAGGCGGGGUCACCCGCUGAAUUUAA
RNAcentral lists this unclassified non-coding RNA (342 nucleotides) under uncultured fungus. RNAcentral describes it as "sequence contains ITS1". The stretch from base 1 to 107 matches the Rfam family "5.8S ribosomal RNA", at positions 50 to 154 of the family's 154-position model. The record is from RNAcentral. Lineage: Eukaryota; Fungi.